CGGACGGGUGAGUAAUGUCUGGGAAACUGCCUGAUGGAGGGGGAUAACUACUGGAAACGGUAGCUAAUACCGCAUAACGUCGCAAGACCAAAGAGGGGACCUUCGGGCCUCUUGCCAUCGGAUGUGCCCAGAUGGGAUUAGCUAGUAGGUGGGGUAACGGCUCACCUAGGCGACGAUCCCUAGCUGGUCUGAGAGGAUGACCAGCCACACUGGAACUGAGACACAGUCCAG
Molecule: ribosomal RNA, 231 nt
Filed under: uncultured bacterium
Lineage: Bacteria
Description: partial 16S ribosomal RNA
Rfam family: Bacterial small subunit ribosomal RNA
Source: RNAcentral